Molecule: ribosomal RNA, 890 nt
Filed under: uncultured bacterium
Lineage: Bacteria
Description: bacterial SSU rRNA
Rfam family: Bacterial small subunit ribosomal RNA
Source: RNAcentral
AACGAACGCUGGCGGCGUGCUUAACACAUGCAAGUCGAACGGGAUUAGGGGCUUGCUCCUAAUCUAGUGGCGCACGGGUGAGUAACGCGUGGAUAAUCUGCCUGAUGAUCUGGGAUAACAUUUCGAAAGGGGUGCUAAUACCGGAUAAGCCCACGAAGACUUCGGUUUUUGCGGGAAAAGAGGGGGACCUUCGGGCCUCUUGUCAUCAGAUGAGUCCGCGUACCAUUAGCUAGUUGGUGGGGUAAAGGCCUACCAAGGCGACGAUGGUUAGCUGGUCUGAGAGGAUGAUCAGCCACACUGGAACUGAGACACGGUCCAGACUCCUACGGGAGGCAGCAGUGGGGAAUUUUGCGCAAUGGGGGAAACCCUGACGCAGCAACGCCGCGUGAGUGAUGAAGGCCUUCGGGUCGUAAAGCUCUGUCUAGAGGAAAGAAGUGUGGGGCGGCUAAUAACCGUUUCACUUGACGGUACCUCUGAAGGAAGCACCGGCUAACUCCGUGCCAGCAGCCGCGGUAAUACGGAGGGUGCGAGCGUUGUUCGGAAUUAUUGGGCGUAAAGCGCGUGUAGGCGGUUUCUUAAGUCUGAUGUGAAAGCCCCGGGCCUAACCUGGGAAGUGCAUUGGAUACUGGGAGACUUGAGUACGGGAGAGGGUAGUGGAAUUCCUAGUGUAGGAGUGAAAUCCGUAGAUAUUAGGAGGAACACCGGUGGCGAAGGCGGCUGCCUGGACCGAUACUGACGCUGAGACGCGAAAGCGUGGGUAGCAAACAGGAUUAGAUACCCUGGUAGUCCACGCCGUAAACGAUGAGUACUAGGUGUUGCGGGUAUUGACCCCUGCAGUGCCGCAGCUAACGCAUUAAGUACUCCGCCUGGGAAGUACGGUCGCAAGACUA